RNAcentral lists this ribosomal RNA (372 nucleotides) under uncultured organism. Its description in RNAcentral is "bacterial SSU rRNA". It matches the Rfam family "Bacterial small subunit ribosomal RNA", at positions 526 to 896 of the family's 1533-position model. The record is from RNAcentral.
CGAAGGGUGCGAGCGUUGUUCGGAAUUACUGGGCGUAAAGCGCGCGUAGGCGGGUCUGUAAGUCGAUUGUGAAAUCCCUGGGCUUAACCCGGGAACGGCAGUCGAAACUACAGAUCUUGAAUGUCUGAGAGGAUGGCGGAAUAACCGGUGUAGUAGUGAAAUACGUAGAUAUCGGUUAGAACACCUGAGGCGAAGGCGGCUAUCUGGCGGUACAUUGACGCUAAGGCGCGAAAGCGUGGGGAGCAAACAGGAUUAGAUACCCUGGUAGUCCACGCCGUAAACUAUGGAUACUAGGUGUCCGGAAUGUUAACCUUCUGGGUACCGAAGCUCACGCAUUAAGUAUCCCGCCUGGGGAGUACGGUCGCAAGACUA